Molecule: ribosomal RNA, 637 nt
Filed under: uncultured archaeon
Lineage: Archaea
Description: bacterial SSU rRNA
Rfam family: Archaeal small subunit ribosomal RNA
Source: RNAcentral
UUUCUGGUUGAUCCUGCCGGAGGUUACUGCUAUCGAGGUUCGACUAAGCCAUGCGAGUCGAAUGUAGCAAUACAUGGCGUACUGCUCAGUAACACGUGGACAACCUGCCCUUAGGACGGGUAUAAACCCGGGAAACUGGGUAUAAUUCCCGAUAGGUCUCGUCUGCUGGAAUGCAUCGAGAUCCAAAGCUCCGGCGCCUAAGGAUGGGUCUGCGGCCUAUCAGGUAGUAGUGGGUGUAGCGUACCUACUAGCCUACAACGGGUACGGGUUGUGAGAGCAAGAGCCCGGAGAUGGAUUCUGAGACACUAAUCCAGGCCCUACGGGGUGCAGCAGGCGCGAAAACUUUACAAUGCUGGGAACAGCGAUAAGGGAACCUCGAGUGCCAGGUUACAAAUCUGGCUGUCGUGAUGCCUAAAAAGCAUUAUAUAGCAAGGGCCGGGCAAGACCGGUGCCAGCCGCCGCGGUAACACCGGCGGCUCGAGUGGUAACCGUUAUUAUUGGGUCUAAAGGGUCUGUAGCCGGCCGGAUAAGUCUCUUGGGAAACCUGGCAGCUUAACUGUCAGGCUUUCAGGGGAUACUGUCUGGCUCGAGGCCGGGAGAGGUGAGAGGUACUUCAGGGGUAGGGGUGAAAUCUUGU